UUACCAAUGAAGUGGUAAUAUUAGAUACGAUUUUGCUCUGCGUACGAUGAGAACCAUGUACGAUUUUCAUACGACGUGAUCUCACUCGUCCCUGGGAUUGAAUGAACGGCUGGUGAUGAUUGUCGUAUGGAAAUCGUAUAAAAUGCAUCGUACGUGUAGCAGGACUCUAUUAGAUAUGGGUAAUUGCGUCAUGGAUAAUUAAUUAAUUAUUGGCUCGUAUUAACUCUGGAGCAUCUUCAAAUUUCUCAGUUAUGUUUUCUAAAAGUUUUCCCUUUGGUAUAAAUGAGAAGCUAGAAAACAAUAUUUGUUUGCUGGCAAGUAAAUAUGGUCCCCCUUCUGUAACUUCUUAGUGUAUUCUGUUUCUUUCAUGGGAGUUCAAUUAGACACAGUCGUUGUUGCUUUUGUAUGCUGGAACUUAGCCAAAGGAGGUUGCUUGGUUGAUAUAUUAUCUUAAAAAGUUCUACUGAGAAUUUGGAAUGAAGUGCUUGAUUGGAAAUCCCUAAGCAAAACUUUGGUACUGCUUCAUUGGAUAUCGGUUACAUUAUGAUGUAUUGCAAAUUUUUGUACUACUUAUUUGAUGAAUUAAUGCUUCUACAUAUUUGUAGGUUGUGUUAGUUGACUUUGUUGAAAGAAAUGAAUAAUUUGAAAAUAGCUGGCAUGUUCUCUUAAUCAAGAUUAUUUCUUGGUGUAGAUUAUAUGAUUAUUAAUGCAGGUCCAUGCUCUACUCUGAUGGCUGAGGUUGGAUACACUUGCUACAUGUUUAUUUAAUUUUAUUCUACUGGAGGAUUCAAACUCUAGACUGAUGAAGUGGUGCAUUUUGAAUUUUCUUCUUAGAUAUUGUGAAUGUUCUACUGAAGGUAUCAAUAAUAAUACAUACUUUACAUAGUCAAGAUUCAUACUUUCCUUAUUACAUGUUGGUUUAUAUCCCCUACAUAUGUGAUGUGUGUUUAGCUUAUCGACUAUUCUUAAGUGAAUCUUAUGUGGUAUUGCAGGACUAACUUUUCUUUAGACAAUUUUGUAAUCUUUAGUUCAUUUUGGGUCAUUUCCAUUGCCUGUUAGUGUUUUUCGCUAGAGUGCUUUGCAGGCAGUUGUUUGAAAUAGAACCUUCCAGCCAUCUUACUUCUCCAAUAGUACUUUCUUGUUGAGUUUGGCUGGACGUUCUCCAAAGUAAAUUUGGGAGAACAAUAAACCAUACUUUCUAUGUUUUGAAACUAGAGCUGGCCAUGAUUAAUUCUUUUCAAGUUGAUAGUCUAUCAGAGUUUGAAUUUGCUUUUGUAUAGCAAUAUGGAAGUAUAUUAUUUCAUCAUAUUUUCCUAAAGUAGCUUCUGAUUUGUUCACAUUUGUAGAACUACACAAUCUGCACAUUCCUUCUCUUCUCCUAAUCAACUUCAUCUCAAAUUAGGCUUUAUCCCCUGAUUAGCAUUCUGAGCUACUCAAAUUUCUUCGCCCACAUGUUUGAUUUUGGUUUUUGUUUAGACAUGACAAACGUUUGCAAGUUAUAGACGCCACGCCUGCCGCUGUCGGGGAGCUCCUGCCUGCGCUGCAAGCCUCAUGACCUUGCAAACUCGCUCGUGUUGCUUAAACGAUAUGGCCUCUCCCUACUCAGGAUGGACUGCUUUGUGCAGAUUCACUCUUCUUUGCCUGAAGGCUCCUGUGUAUCCAGGACCAGCACAAGGAAAAUUCUGGGAUGAAGAAAAAAAAGCGAAAAUGCAAAUAGAUGAGAAAUCCUAACUUAUUCCUUUGGCCAUUUCUGUAGCCAAAGCUAUUGGCUGGCCAACACAAAGGAGCUGAAAUUUCAUAGCGACAAAAAUAGGUGCUGGAGGUACCAUGCAAGCAAGCAUGGCGACCGUGAUCAUGCUGCAGUGGCUGGGUAUAUCCCCUCCCGCUAGCUGAGGAUGGUGUCGGUGUACUAGAGUAGGGGUACCCUAGUAUCCCGAACUCGUGCACGGUCAGUUGCAGCGCCCCGCGGCAAGGCUUGCCGGGUGACCGCCAAGACCCUCCGUGGUUCCCUUGAAGACCAUUCAAGAACAAAG
Long non-coding RNA from Triticum aestivum (bread wheat), 2033 nucleotides. RefSeq lists it as uncharacterized. The transcript is spliced from 3 exons. Lineage: Eukaryota; Viridiplantae; Streptophyta; Magnoliopsida; Poales; Poaceae. The record is from RefSeq and is a predicted model, not a curated record.